This 133-nucleotide ribosomal RNA is filed under the name Calvitimela armeniaca. RNAcentral's name for it is "5.8S ribosomal RNA". It matches the Rfam family "5.8S ribosomal RNA", at positions 3 to 135 of the family's 154-position model. Rfam says of the family: 5.8S ribosomal RNA (5.8S rRNA) is a component of the large subunit of the eukaryotic ribosome. Lineage: Eukaryota; Fungi; Ascomycota; Lecanoromycetes; Lecanorales; Tephromelataceae. The record is from RNAcentral.
CUUUCAACAACGGAUCUCUUGGUUCCAGCAUCGAUGAAGAACGCAGCGAAAUGCGAUAAGUAAUGUGAAUUGCAGAAUUCAGUGAAUCAUCGAAUCUUUGAACGCACAUUGCGCUCCUCGGCAUUCCGGGGGG